ACAUUGAUGAGUGUGGCACAGAGGGAGCCAACUGUGGAGCUGACCAAUUCUGCGUGAACACUGAGGGCUCCUAUGAGUGCCGAGACUGUGCCAAGGCCUGCCUAGGCUGCAUGGGGGCAGGGCCAGGUCGCUGUAAGAAGUGUAGCCCUGGCUAUCAGCAGGUGGGCUCCAAGUGUCUCGGUGAGUCUCCUGCUGAUGGGACACAGGCACCUGGGAGUGCCUCACCCAGCAUGAAUGGUGAAGAGGCUGGAAUAUGGGCAGGUGGGGGAAGGAAGGGUGGAAUGUUGCCUGGGCAAGGGCAGAGGGGAGUGUUGAGAGAUGGACAAGAUGGAGUCAGGGUGCUGGGUAGGGGGCCCUAGCAGGACUCUGACCCCUCCCUCCCCUCAAGAUGUGGAUGAGUGUGAGACAGAGGUGUGUCCGGGAGAGAACAAGCAGUGUGAAAACACCGAGGGCGGUUAUCGCUGCAUCUGUGCCGAGGGCUACAAGCAGAUGGAAGGCAUCUGUGUGAAGGAGCAGAUCCCAGAGUCAGCGGGCUUCUUCUCCGAGAUGACAGAGGACGAGUUGGUGGUGCUGCAGCAGAUGUUCUUUGGCAUCAUCAUCUGUGCACUGGCCACGCUGGCUGCUAAGGGCGACUUGGUGUUCACCGCCAUCUUCAUUGGGGCUGUGGCGGCCAUGACUGGCUACUGGUUG
RNAcentral lists this small RNA (690 nucleotides) under Pan troglodytes (chimpanzee). Its description in RNAcentral is "retained intron". The record is from RNAcentral. Lineage: Eukaryota; Metazoa; Chordata; Mammalia; Primates; Hominidae.